Molecule: long non-coding RNA, 449 nt
Filed under: Malus domestica (apple)
Lineage: Eukaryota; Viridiplantae; Streptophyta; Magnoliopsida; Rosales; Rosaceae
Description: long non-coding RNA (MDOM_LNC019476)
Source: RNAcentral
AUCAAUUCAUUUGUUCUGAAAGGUUUCGUCCAAAGAUUGACUUUCAGGGCAUAUUUACAACAGGAGCAUACUUAUGCGACUUAGUUAGCUUGUUCUUGUGCAAUUAUGUUGUUAUUUCUUAGUUAAUUUAGUAUUUCAAGCCAUUUUCGUGUGUUUGUAGGUCCAAAAGGCUAAAAUAGCAAGAAAGUACAUUUUGGAGCUUUUUGGAGCAGUUUUGAGCAUGGAAUGGAUAGCUUAUGAAUGGAGCAAGGGAGAUGGACGAACUUGAAGAUCAAAGGAGGCUAGGAAUGAAUAAUGAAAUGAAGAAAUGAAAAUGAAGAACAAAGAGUUCAGAAUUGGAAGCCAAAGUGUCUAAAGUUGGAAGUUUCUAUUCUUGGAGGUUUCCAUUCUUGAAAGUUUCUAUUCUUGGCUUGAAAGUUUCCUAAUCCUACCUCACCUAUGUUCCAGCC